CAUAGGUUAAUGAGGCGAACCGGGGGAACUGAAACAUCUAAGUACCCCGAGGAAAAGAAAUCAACCGAGAUUCCCCCAGUAGCGGCGAGCGAACGGGGAGGAGCCCAGAGCCUGAAUCAGUGUGUGUGUUAGUGGAAGCGUCUGGAAAGGCGCGCGAUACAGGGUGACAGCCCCGUACACAAAAAUGCACAUAUUGUGAGCUCGAUGAGUAGGGCGGGACACGUGGUAUCCUGUCUGAAUAUGGGGGGACCAUCCUCCAAGGCUAAAUACUCCUGACUGACCGAUAGUGAACCAGUACCGUGAGGGAAAGGCGAAAAGAACCCCGGCGAGGGGAGUGAAAAAGAACCUGAAACCGUGUACGUACAAGCAGUGGGAGCCUCUUAAUGGGGUGACUGCGUACCUUUUGUAUAAUGGGUCAGCGACUUAUAUUCUGUAGCAAGGUUAACCGAAUAGGGGAGCCGAAGGGAAACCGAGUCUUAACUGGGCGUUAAGUUGCAGGGUAUAGACCCGAAACCCGGUGAUCUAGCCAUGGGCAGG
RNAcentral lists this ribosomal RNA (537 nucleotides) under Escherichia coli. Its description in RNAcentral is "partial 23S ribosomal RNA". It matches the Rfam family "Bacterial large subunit ribosomal RNA", at positions 165 to 744 of the family's 2925-position model. Lineage: Bacteria; Pseudomonadati; Pseudomonadota; Gammaproteobacteria; Enterobacterales; Enterobacteriaceae. The record is from RNAcentral.